RNAcentral lists this ribosomal RNA (449 nucleotides) under uncultured bacterium. Its description in RNAcentral is "partial 16S ribosomal RNA". It matches the Rfam family "Bacterial small subunit ribosomal RNA", at positions 29 to 523 of the family's 1533-position model. The record is from RNAcentral.
AACGAACGCUGGCGGCAUGCCUAACACAUGCAAGUCGAACGAGAUCUUCGGGUCUAGUGGCGCACGGGUGCGUAACGCGUGGGAAUCUGCCCUUUGGUUCGGUAUAACAGUUGGAAACGACUGCUGAUACCGGAUGAUGACGAAAGUCCAAAGAUUUAUCGCCAGAGGAUGAGCCCGCGUAGGAUUAGCUAGUUGGUGUGGUAAAGGCGCACCAAGGCGACGAUCCUUAGCUGGUCUGAGAGGAUGAUCAGCCACACUGGGACUGAGACACGGCCCAGACUCCGACGGGAGGCAGCAGUGGGGAAUAUUGGACAAUGGGCGAAAGCCUGAUCCAGCAAUGCCGCGUGAGUGAUGAAGGCCUUAGGGUUGUAAAGCUCUUUUACCCGGGAUGAUAAUGACAGUACCGGGAGAAUAAGCUCCGGCUAACUCCGUGCCAGCCGCCGCAGUAA